GCGCAGCCUGAUGCAGCCAUGCCGCGUAGGGAGAAGAAGGCCUUCGGGUUGUAAAGCCCUUUUGAGGGAAAGAAAUCCCGCGGGCUAAUACCCGGUUGGGAUGACGGUACCCGCAGAAUAAGCACCGGCUAACUUCGUGCCAGCAGCCGCGGUAAUACGAAGGGUGCAAGCGUUACUCGGAAUUACUGGGCGUAAAGCGUGCGUAGGCGGUUAUUUAAGUCCGAUGUGAAAUCCCUGGGCUCAACCUGGGAACUGCAGUGGAUACUGGAUGACUAGAAUGUGGUAGAGGGUAGCGGAAUCCCUGGUGUAGCAGUGAAUGCGUAGAGAUCAGGAGGAACAUCCAUGGCGAAGGCAGCUACCUGGACCAACAUUGACACUGAGGCACGAUAGCGUGGGGAGCACACGGGAUUAGAUACCCUGGUUUUCCACGCCCUUGCGAUGCGAACUGUAUGUUGGGUGCAAAUUGGCACCCCGCUCGAAGCUAUCACUUUGAUCUCACCCCCGGGAAAAUUUGGUCAUUUUACACC
RNAcentral lists this ribosomal RNA (527 nucleotides) under Stenotrophomonas sp. RNAcentral's name for it is "bacterial SSU rRNA". It matches the Rfam family "Bacterial small subunit ribosomal RNA", at positions 375 to 873 of the family's 1533-position model. The record is from RNAcentral. Lineage: Bacteria; Pseudomonadati; Pseudomonadota; Gammaproteobacteria; Lysobacterales; Lysobacteraceae.